Scylla paramamosain (green mud crab) is the source of this 1062-nucleotide long non-coding RNA. RefSeq lists it as uncharacterized. The record is from RefSeq and is a predicted model, not a curated record. NCBI's taxonomy places the organism in Eukaryota, Metazoa, Arthropoda, Malacostraca, Decapoda, Portunidae. The transcript is spliced from 4 exons.
UGUUUGUGUGUGUUCUACUUUCUCUCCUGCAUUAUUUCACGUAAACCUAUAAAGACAUAAUGUUGUUAGGUUAAGAAAUCAGAGUCCGCCACCCUUAUCAGUCACCUCGACCGUUACAUCCCUCUUGGCAGCCACAUGACACCACGUGCAGGGCGUGACUCCCACCCAUGUCUCGCCGCCUGAUCACCGCCACCAGCACUGCUGCCCAGGCUCGCGGGUACCCAUAGUUUCCAGUCGCUUCGUGCCAACGUCCUGACACCGUACGUCUGGCCUGCAGGACCGAGCCUUACCAGAGAGACAUCAACUAUAUCAUCUUACUACCAGCAACCAAGCUACCAAGAAUACCAAGCUCACUACAGGUCCCCCACACUACCAACACACCGAGCUCCUCAGUUGAUCCAGCGGUGGCAAGCACCAUCAUCAACUGGGGAAGUAUUUCAUGUAAACCAGGAACAGGAGAGAUACUCACAGGGACCAGCACGCACAAUGGACAUAGAUGGACCAACUCCUUUACCAUGAAGAGCUACUGCUAUCGUAGGCUGGGCUCACACGUCCAUCUGCAAAGUGACUGCGUUAUCAGUGACGUCACGCCAUCGAAGGGAGAAAAUGCACGGGGUACCCGCUACACUUGCGUGAACCCAGCCUAACAGGAAAUGCAGAAGCUAUAUUCGCUGCCGAAUACUGGUAAGCGUACAGCUAGAUAUCAGUAUUAGAAAAAAAAUACGUGUACUGAAAAUUACAAGAGAGAGAGAGAGAGAGAGAGAGAGAGAGAGAGAGAGAGAGAGAGAGAGAGAGAGAGAGAGAGAGAGAGAGAGUUAAUAUAAAAUACGAAGUUUCGUUGUCAAGUCAUUUAAAUUAUAAUCAGAAUGAUAAAGUAAUAACAUUCACCUAGUCUAAGAUAUAUUUCAUUAUUUGCUUUAAGAUGCAAACUAAAAUGUGUCGCUUAUAUUAAGAUUGCAUUGUUACAUGCUUAAGUGGUGCUGAGGUAUAGGUAUAUUUGUUCUGAAUACAAACCCUUGUGUCCGAACACUCCCAAUCCAAGAUUACGAAACCUGGAACCAA